RNAcentral lists this unclassified non-coding RNA (201 nucleotides) under Hevea brasiliensis (rubber tree). Lineage: Eukaryota; Viridiplantae; Streptophyta; Magnoliopsida; Malpighiales; Euphorbiaceae. The record is from RNAcentral.
CUCCAACAAAGACAAAUGUGCUCAGGGCCAUGAACUUUUGUCCUGCACCACCGAAGCCAGCAGCAACUAGAGCAUUUAAAGUAGCAUCCACACUUGCAUCAGGCAUGACAACUGCAUGAUAUUUUGCUCCAAUAUUGGACUGAAUACGUUUUCCUUUAGCUGAUGCCCUUGCAUAAAUAUAUGCACCAGCCUGGAUCUUUC